Molecule: ribosomal RNA, 419 nt
Filed under: bacterium
Lineage: Bacteria
Description: partial 16S ribosomal RNA
Rfam family: Bacterial small subunit ribosomal RNA
Source: RNAcentral
UGGGGGAUAUUGCACAAUGGGCGAAAGCCUGAUGCAGCGACGCCGCGUGGGGGAUGAAGGCCUUCGGGUUGUAAACUUCUUUUGCUCUGAACAAGGCGCACCAUGGGGUGUGUUGAGUGUAGGGGUUGAUUAGCGCCGGCUAACUACGUGCCAGCAGCCGCGGUAAUACGUAGGGCGCGAGCGUUGUCCGGAAUUAUUGGGCGUAAAGGGCUUGUAGGUGGCUGGUUGCGUCUGUCGUGAAAGCUCAUGGCUUAACUGUGGGUUUGCGGUGGGUACGGGCUGGCUUGAGUGCAGUAGGGGAGGCUGGAAUUCCUGGUGUAGCGGUGGAAUGCGCAGAUAUCAGGAGGAAUACCGGUGGCGAAGGCGGGUCUCUGGGCUGUUACUGAUACUGAGGAGCGAAAGCAUGGGGAGCGAACAGG